This 137-nucleotide small nucleolar RNA is filed under the name Tursiops truncatus (common bottlenose dolphin). RNAcentral describes it as "Small nucleolar RNA ACA59 (ENSTTRG00000025362.1)". The record is from RNAcentral. Lineage: Eukaryota; Metazoa; Chordata; Mammalia; Artiodactyla; Delphinidae.
GCUCAGUGUGUGUGGGGUGGGACGAUGCCGCUCUCCCAGCUCCACCGGAGGGCGGGUUGCUCAACGCUUGUGCCGCAGUUUCCCACCCAUACAGUAUGGGCAGGAUUACCGCCUCUAAUCAGCCGUGAGGACCAGCU